GCGCUGCUGUGAGCUGUGGUGUAGGUCACAGACACAGCUCAGAUCCCAAGUUGCUCUGGCUGUGGCUGGCAGCUGUAGCUCCGAUCCCACCUCUAGCCUGAAAACUUGUGUAUGCCGCAGGUGCGAACCCAAAAAGCAAAACAAAGCAAAACGAAAAAACCUUCAUCCUGGCACUGCACAAACGCCACCAAGUCCAGUUGCUUGCCACAGUGGGAACUCCUUACUUUGUCUUUUAUUAAAUUGGCUCACUGUUUUUGGUGUUAUUUUUAACUUAAACCAGCUUAAUUUAAAAGUACGCUCAGUGUGACUGCUGUGAAUAGAAGCUGGGUGUUGCUGUUAAAAAGGAGAAACACAUUAAAACAAAUGAAAGCAAAGCCAGGCAAUCCUAACUAGAUGUUAUGGUCUGCAUAAUUUGGGGUCCUGAGCUCUGCAUUUGUUUUGUUCAAUGGGGAGAGUGACCAGGGCCAGAGGGCCAUUAGCACGCUCUAGCUGCUGCUGGGACUUCUGAGCGGUCAGAGAACUGGAAGAGAAGCUGGGGUGCACGAUCCUGAGUUCCUUUGGGGCCUCCGCGCUUUGCGGCUGAGAGUUCACAGGACUACGUCCCACUCCUUGGGAAACUCUCCACUAACGACAACAGUAAUGCUAACAGCUGAAAUGUACCAACUCUUCUGUGCACCGCACAACUCUAAGAUUUUUACCUGUAUGUGUUACUUGAAACUAGGAGGUUGGGGGCAGUGUUGGUGGGGGGUCUGGUGGAGCCCUGGGCCAGCACUUAGACCCAAGGAAGAGAGAAAUGUGUGUGUGUGUGUGUGUGUGUGUGUGUGUGUGUGUGUAGUUUCUGUGCGUGGGUGUCUAGGCGUGCACUUGGGAGACAGCAUGCACUGCCCAGGACGAACUCUGCCCUGCUCCCGCCCCAGCUGUAUAGUCUUGGGUGACUGGCCCCAGGUUCCUCAUCUGUGAAAUGGGACGAGUGGAAGUCGUGCCCACCUUGCAGGGGCGUUAGGGAGAUUAAGCGAGAGACCUCGGUCCAGUGCUUUGCAGGCGGUAAGCACCCUGAGUGUUUGCUGUUGCCGUGUGUGCGUGUCCCUCCCUCCUGCCUGUCUACAGGUGUGUGUGUGUGUCUGUCUGUCUGUCCUGUCUGCGUUGUGAGGCGGGCCUCUCACCUUGCCUCCCUCUUUUUCCCCCUCGACCACAGCCUGCCGUCCCCGGUCACCGUCGGCAGUGCAGGGAUGGCCACCCAGCUGCUGAGUGACGGGGCCCUGGUAAGUCAAGCUGCCUCUCUCUCCUUUCCAGCGGCUCAGCCCAAGGGGCUGGGCUUCUCCUGACCCCUAGCCCCCACCCAGGGCCCAUGUCCCCACCUCCGGGGCCUGUGUCCACCCUGAGGAGGGACGGUGGUGCUCCCGUCCACUCUGCCUGCUCCGGCACUGUCCCUGACACUGGCUUUGGUUGACCAAGGAGCACAGGCCAGCUGGGGAGUGACCAGUUCUGCCCUGGGGCCCACAGGAGACACAGGAGGGCACCUAGAAAGUGACACUGUAACUGUGUUAUAUCAAGUGUUCAAGGGUCCCUCCGGAGAUGCCCAGGCAGCGUUGUGCUGACACGUGUCCUUUCCAAGUGGGCAGACAGCACUAAGUGUCCCAUAUGAACGGCCACAUAGGCAGUAAAAGUACAAGACUCGCUGGAACAAGUUGAUGGUGUUUUAAAUGGGUGGUACCUAUGUGACUGUGUGUUGUAUUUUUCUCUAAACUUGCUUUUAUGCCAGAAAUGUUUCAUAAUAAAAUAUAUACAUAUAUGCGAUCUCUAUAGAAAAUAGGGAAAAUCCAGUAAUCUAUAGGUAAGACAAUAUAAUUCACCCAUUAUGCCUCUACCAAGAAAUAACCUUGGGGAUUAUUUGUGUAUUCAUUUGUCUUCCUUCUCUGAUGAUUAUUUUUAACAAUUGACCCAGCAUUGGCUCUGCCACUUUUAUCUUGGAGUUUUUUUGUUUUGUUUUGUGUUUUGGCUUUCCAUAGACUUUGAAACCUUUAUAACACCACCUGUUUGGGCUGCAUAAUCAGUGCAUCUCAGUGUCCAUCUCAUAUUGGUGAGUUUGACUUUUUAAAAAAUCAUUUUUCAAUGCUAUAAAUAAUCAGUUAUAAAAGUAAAAGAAAAUUCCUAGUUGGUAAGGAAAUACAUGAUCAUUAAGCUUAGAAAAUCCAGAAGAACAUAGAGAACAGGGUCAGAAUGACUCUUGAUCUCAUCCGAGAAGAUAACCACCCUCGAAUAUUGGUGUGUGUCUCUCUCUCCCUGGAUACACGUUGUUUUGCAAAAAUAAGCACCACCCUUGGAAUUCCCAUCAUGGCUCAGCAGAAAUGAAUCUGACUAGUAUCCAUGAGGACGCAGGUUCGAUCCCUGGCCUCGCUCAGCGGGUUAAGGAUCCAGCAUUGCCUCGGCUGUGGCGUAGGCUGGUGGCUACAACUCCGAUUCAACCCCUAGCCUGGGAACCUCCAUAUGCUGUGAGUGCAGCCCUAAAAUAAAAAUAAAAAGACAAAAAUAUAAGAAUCACCGGGCUGAGCAGUUUUUAUAUCGUGCUUUUUCAUCAAAGAUUUCAUGCUGAGCAUUUUUCCACAUUGUUAAAAACCCCUUGGUAGAUCCAUUUUAGUGACUCCAUAGAAAUUUUGUCUUGGGGCUUACAUCUUACUUGGCUUACUUAGUGGUUCCCCUGUUGUUGGAUAUUUAUUUGUCUCCAGUUAUUUAUGGUCGUUGGGUAUUUAUUGUGGAAGUUGGAUAUAAAUGAUAAAUGGCCAUGUGAAUAAAUGAAUAUAUGUGACAAAUAGUAUAAACCUUAAGCAUGAUAGGUUACAAAUGGUGUCACAAGAUCUUUUCUGAGUAACAUUGUAUGUAUAUAAAUGAACUUUCAUUUUUAGAAAAUAUUAGCCAUUUCUGCAAGGGGCUAAAUGAUCUAUCUUGUGCUUUGCCAUUCUGCAAGAAUCUUAGUGUUCUUGAAGACUUUAAAGAAGUGUAUAUAGGAGUUCCCUUGUAGCUCAGUGGUUGAGGACCUGGUGUUGUCUCUGCUAUGACUCAGGUCACUGCUGUGGCACAGGUUCAGUCUCUGGACUGGGAACUUCCACAUGCCACGGUGCGG
RNAcentral lists this long non-coding RNA (3121 nucleotides) under Sus scrofa (pig). RNAcentral's name for it is "lncRNA (ENSSSCG00005002594.1)". Lineage: Eukaryota; Metazoa; Chordata; Mammalia; Artiodactyla; Suidae. The record is from RNAcentral.